GUUUCACCACGUUGGCUAGACUGGUCUCCAACUCCUGACCUCAUGAUCCUCCCCACAAGGCCUCCGAAAGUGCUGGGAUUACAGGCGAGAGCCACUGCACCCGGCCUCUGAAGUUAUUUUCCUGGAUCAUUAUGUGAUGUCAUAGGAUCUAAGAGAGGGAGUUUCACCAUGUUCUCCAGUUUCAUGAUGUUCCCCAGGAUGGUACUGAAUUUCUAAGCUCAAGCAAUUCACCUGCUUUGGCCUCUGAAAGUGCUGAGAUUACAGGUGUGAGCCAUUGUGCCUGGCCAAUAAUUGGUAGACUUUUCUUUUUUUAUUUUCACAUUUUUA
This 327-nucleotide long non-coding RNA is filed under the name Homo sapiens (human). RNAcentral's name for it is "HSALNT0066161". Lineage: Eukaryota; Metazoa; Chordata; Mammalia; Primates; Hominidae. The record is from RNAcentral.